RNAcentral lists this ribosomal RNA (1737 nucleotides) under human gut metagenome. RNAcentral's name for it is "bacterial LSU rRNA". It matches the Rfam family "Bacterial large subunit ribosomal RNA", at positions 1076 to 2829 of the family's 2925-position model. The record is from RNAcentral.
UGGAAUUGCACAGACAACCAGGAUGUUGGCUUAGAAGCAGCCACUCAUUUAAAGAGUGCGUAAUAGCUCACUGGUCGAGUGAUCCUGCGCCGAAAAUUUCCGGGGCUAAAACGUACUACCGAAGCUACGGCAUCAUUUAUGAUGGGUAGGGGAGCUUCGUAUGCAGGCUGAAGCAUGACCGUAAGGACAUGUGGACAGUAUACGAGUGAGAAUGUUGGCAUGAGUAGCGAGACGUGGGUGAGAAUCCCACGGGCCGUAAACCCAAGGUUUCCAGGGGAAGGUUCGUCCGCCCUGGGUUAGUCGGGACCUAAGCCGAGGCCGAAAGGCGUAGGUGAUGGACAACAGGUUGAUAUUCCUGUACCGCCAAUAAGCGUUUGAGAGAUGGAGUGACACAGUAGGAUAAGCUAACCGUACUGUUGGUUAUGUACGGCUAAGCAUUGAGGCAGUCUAAAUAGGCAAAUCCGUUUAGACAAUGCUAGGAUGUGAUGGGGAAGCCCUCCGGGGCGAAGUAGCUGAUUUCACACUGUCAAGAAAAGCUUCUAUCGAGUUUAAAGGCGCCCGUACCGUAAACCGACACAGGUGGGUGAGGAGAGUAUCCUAAGGCCAGCGAGAGAACUAUUGUUAAGGAACUCGGCAAAAUGACCCCGUAACUUAGGGAGAAGGGGUGCCUGUCUAUGACAGGCCGCAGAGAAUAGGCCCAAGCGACUGUUUACCAAAAACACAGGUUUCUGCUAAGUCGCAAGACGAUGUAUAGGAGCUGACGCCUGCCCGGUGCUGGAAGGUUAAGGGGAUCUGUUAGAGCAAUCGAAGCAGUGAACUUAAGCCCCAGUAAACGGCGGCCGUAACUAUAACGGUCCUAAGGUAGCGAAAUUCCUUGUCGGGUAAGUUCCGACCCGCACGAAAGGCGUAACGAUUUGGGCACUGUCUCAACAAUAGACUCGGUGAAAUUGUAAUCCCGGUGAAGAUGCCGGGUACCUGCGACAGGACGGAAAGACCCCAUGGAGCUUUACUGUAGCUUGACGUUGGGUCUUGGUACUACAUGUACAGGAUAGGUGGGAGACUAUGAAGCAUGGACGCCAGUCUGUGUGGAGUCAUCCUUGGGAUACCACCCUUGUAGUACUGGGAUCCUAACCAUAGGCCUUGAAUCAGGUCUUGGAACACCGUCAGGUGGGCAGUUUGACUGGGGCGGUCGCCUCCUAAAAAGUAACGGAGGCGCUCAAAGGUUUCCUCAGCACGGUCGGAAAUCGUGCGAAGAGUGUAAAGGCAAAAGGAAGCUUGAUUGCAAGACAUACAGGUCGAGCAAGGACGAAAGUCGGACUUAGUGAUCCGGUGGUACCGCAUGGAAGGGCCAUCGCUCAACGGAUAAAAGCUACCCUGGGGAUAACAGGCUUAUCUCCCCCAAGAGUCCACAUCGACGGGGAGGUUUGGCACCUCGAUGUCGGCUCAUCACAUCCUGGGGCUGUAGUAGGUCCCAAGGGUUGGGCUGUUCGCCCAUUAAAGUGGUACGCGAGCUGGGUUCAGAACGUCGUGAGACAGUUCGGUCCUUAUCUGUCGCAGGCGCAGGAUAUUUGAGGGGAGUUGACCUUAGUACGAGAGGACCAGGUUGAACUUACCAAUGGUGUAUCAGUUGUCAUACCAAUGGCACGGCUGAGUAGCUAAGUAGGGAAGGGAUAAACGCUGAAAGCAUCUAAGUGUGAAGCCCACCCCAAGAUAAGAUAUCCCAUACCGUAAGGUAGU